Molecule: ribosomal RNA, 274 nt
Filed under: uncultured bacterium
Lineage: Bacteria
Description: partial 16S ribosomal RNA
Rfam family: Bacterial small subunit ribosomal RNA
Source: RNAcentral
AUACGGAGGGUGCAAGCGUUACUCGGAAUCACUGGGCGUAAAGCGCGCGCAGGCGGCUAUUUAAGUUGGAUGUGAAAGCCUACGGCUCAACCGUAGAACUGCAUCCAAAACUAUUUAGCUAGAGUGUGGGAGAGGAAGAUGGAAUUAGUUGUGUAGGGGUAAAAUCCGUAGAGAUAACUAGGAAUACCAAAAGCGAAGGCAAUCUUCUGGAACACUACUGACGCUGAGGCGCGAAAGUGUGGGGAGCAAACAGGAUUAGAAACCCUAGUAGUCC